Non-coding RNA from Camelina sativa (false flax), 1003 nucleotides. Lineage: Eukaryota; Viridiplantae; Streptophyta; Magnoliopsida; Brassicales; Brassicaceae. The record is from RefSeq and is a predicted model, not a curated record.
AUAUAAGACUUACGUUUCGUCUCGUAGCUCAAAAUUGAGUUUUUUGGUAGGCUUGUUAUUUGCUUCGAGGUCCUCCAAUUCAUCCAUACUCACAAUUUGACCAAUAACCUCUGCAUAAUCAAACAUAUAAAUAUAUAUUGACUCAAAUUAAACAGAUGUAUCUAUAUAGAUACUUACCAACAAAUAUGUGGGGAUUAGCUCGACCACUGUGGAUGAAUUUGAACUUAGUUAAGGUAAGGAAGCUAGCAUCAGAAACAGGGUCACUGUCCAUGACCAUAGUUCCAUUGGUAAAUGACAUCUUGUACAGAUGCGAGGUUGGUCUGAAUUGACCAUUUGCAUAGCUGAGUGCAAAUGUCUCAAUGAAAACCCAGUUACCAAUAGGAAGUCUAUUGACAUAUUUGUUUAGCAAUUCCUUCUUCACAGAUGCAUGAAUCUUUUUACUCUGCAUCAAUGAAAGACAUAAGAUCCAUUAGUAAUAGAAAAUAAUUGUAACAUUCGAUAACGUAAACAGUAGACCUUACCAUCGAGUCUGACAACACCAACUCAAGUGUUUCACCACCAUUUAGACGCCAUGAAUGGAUGACCUUGACUUGAACCCUCCAUGAGAUUUUGUAGGGGCGAACGUCUUUCAAGAAAGCAAAGGUAGCAGCCAUAAUGUUGAUUGAUAUUUGAGUAGCGUAAUUGUUGGAGCAGAUUUUUGGAAAUCAAGCAGUUUAAACAGAAUUCGUGGAGAAGAUUGUAAGGCAAGAAAAUCUUUGUCAUUUAAUUGUUACGAAUAAACGGGUGAGAGGAGAAGGUGUAAUCGUGUUCUUGAGAAUGUUACAACUUUCGAUAGAGGUUGGGCUUGACCCAAUUGUUUUUUGUAAUCAACAAAUCGUGUGACCCAAAAAGAAUAUUUGUUUGUAAGGUAUUAAAGACAAUGGCAGGGUUGUAAAUAAGUUGGAAGUCCAGGAUUUAUUUUAUAAAUGUUUCUGAAAAUGUAUAUAUAGAUUUAUGGUUUUUA